AGUAGGAUAGCUGGGUCAUAUGGUCACUCUAUUCCUGGUCUUUUAAGGAAUCUCCAUAUAGCUUUCCAAGUGGUUGUACCAAUUUGCAGUCCUACUAGCAAU
Molecule: microRNA precursor, 102 nt
Filed under: Marmota monax (woodchuck)
Lineage: Eukaryota; Metazoa; Chordata; Mammalia; Rodentia; Sciuridae
Source: RNAcentral